Molecule: ribosomal RNA, 650 nt
Filed under: uncultured Bacteroidota bacterium
Lineage: Bacteria; Pseudomonadati; Bacteroidota
Description: bacterial SSU rRNA
Rfam family: Bacterial small subunit ribosomal RNA
Source: RNAcentral
CACAUGCAAGUCGAGGGGCAGCAUUUCGCUAGCAAUAGUGAAGAUGGCGACCGGCGCACGGGUGAGUAACACGUAUCCAACCUGCCGAUAACUCGGGGAUAGCCUUUCGAAAGAAAGAUUAAUAUCCGAUGGUAUAUUAAAACCGCAUGGUUUUACUAUUAAAGAAUUUCGGUUAUCGAUGGGGAUGCGUUCCAUUAGUUUGUUGGCGGGGUAACGGCCCACCAAGACUACGAUGGAUAGGGGUUCUGAGAGGAAGGUCCCCCACAUUGGAACUGAGACACGGUCCAAACUCCUACGGGAGGCAGCAGUGAGGAAUAUUGGUCAAUGGGCGAGAGCCUGAACCAGCCAAGUAGCGUGAAGGAUGACUGCCCUAUGGGUUGUAAACUUCUUUUAUAUGGGAAUAAAGUAUUCCACGUGUGGGAUUUUGUAUGUACCAUAUGAAUAAGGAUCGGCUAACUCCGUGCCAGCAGCCGCGGUAAUACGGAGGAUCCGAGCAUUAUCCGGAUUUAUUGGGUUUAAAGGGAGCGUAGGUGGAUUGUUAAGUCAGUUGUGAAAGUUUGCGGCUCAACCGUAAAAUUGCAGUUGAAACUGGCAGUCUUGAGUACAGUAGAGGUGGGCGGAAUUCGUGGUGUAGCGGUGAAAUGCUUAGA